This 366-nucleotide ribosomal RNA is filed under the name uncultured bacterium. RNAcentral's name for it is "partial 16S ribosomal RNA". It matches the Rfam family "Bacterial small subunit ribosomal RNA", at positions 356 to 712 of the family's 1533-position model. The record is from RNAcentral.
GGGGAAUUUUUGGACAAUGGGCGAAGCCUGAUCCAGCAAUGCCGCGUGUGUGAAGAAGGCCUUCGGGUUGUAAAGCACUUUUGUCCGGAAAGAAAUCCUUGGCUUCUAAUACAGUCGGGGGAUGACGGUACCGGAAGAAUAAGCACCGGCUAACUACGUGCCAGCAGCCGCGGUAAUACGUAGGGUGCAAGCGUUAAUCGGAAUUACUGGGCGUAAAGCGUGCGCAGGCGGUUUUGCUAAGACCGAUGUGAAAUCCCCGGGCUCAACCUGGGAACUGCAUUGGUGACUGGCAGGCUAGAGUAUGGCAGAGGGGGGUAGAAUUCCACGUGUAGCAGUGAAAUGCGUAGAGAUGUGGAGGAAUACCGA